RNAcentral lists this ribosomal RNA (829 nucleotides) under uncultured bacterium. Its description in RNAcentral is "bacterial SSU rRNA". It matches the Rfam family "Bacterial small subunit ribosomal RNA", at positions 15 to 819 of the family's 1533-position model. The record is from RNAcentral.
GAUCCUGUUUCAGGAUUAACGCUGACGGUGUGCAUAAUACAUGCAAGUCGAACGUGUGAUGCGAAAGUAGCAAUACUUUUGCAAAGCAAGUGGCGAACGGGUGAGUAACAAGUGGACAAUCUGCCCUUAAGAUCGGGAUAAUUAUUCGAAAGGAUAGCUAAUACCGAAUGUUUUAUAUCUUUCGAUGAUUGAUAUAACAAAGGAAGCCGCAAGGCCUCCGCUUUUGGAUGAGUCCGCUGCCUAUUAGCUAGUUGGUAAGGUAAUGGCUUACCAAGGCUAUGAUGGGUAGCCGGCCCGAGAGGGUGUCCGGCCACACUGGGACUGAGAUACGGCCCAGACUCCUACGGGAGGCAGCAGUAGGGAAUAUUGCGCAAUGGGCGAAAGCCUGACGCAGCGACACCGUGUGUAGGAUGAAGAUCUUAGGAUUGUAAACUACUGUCAGUUGAAGAAGAAGGUAUGAGAGUUAAGAGCUUGAUUAUUGACGGUAUUCAACGAGGAAGUCUCGGCUAACUCCGUGCCAGCAGCCGCGGUAAGACGGGGGAGGCAAGCAUUGUCCGGAAUUAUUGGGCGUAAAGAACACGUAGGCGGUUUUUCAAGUCAAUUGUGAAAACCUUGGGCUUAACCCGAGGACUGCAGCUGAUACUGGAAGACUAGAGUACAGUAGAGGAAAGUGGAAUUCCUGGUGUAGCGGUGAAAUGCGCAGAUAUCAGGAAGAACACCAGUGGCGAAAGCGGCUUUCUGGACUGUUACUGACGCUGAGGUGUGAAAGCUAGGGGAGCGAACAGGAUUAGAUACCCUGGUAGUCCUAGCCGUAAACGAUGGACACUAA